This 207-nucleotide ribosomal RNA is filed under the name uncultured bacterium. Its description in RNAcentral is "partial 16S ribosomal RNA". It matches the Rfam family "Bacterial small subunit ribosomal RNA", at positions 568 to 774 of the family's 1533-position model. The record is from RNAcentral.
CGCGUAGGCGGGUCAGCCAGUCCGGGGUGAAAUCCUUCGGCUUAACCGGAGAACUGCCUCGGAGACGACUGAUCUGGAGGGAGGUAGGGGUCGCUGGAACUUCCGGUGGAGCGGUGAAAUGCGUUGAUAUCGGAAGGAACGCCGGUGGCGAAAGCGAGCGACUGGACCUUUACUGACGCUGAGGCGCGAAAGCCAGGGGAGCAAACG